This 842-nucleotide ribosomal RNA is filed under the name uncultured archaeon. RNAcentral describes it as "bacterial SSU rRNA". It matches the Rfam family "Archaeal small subunit ribosomal RNA", at positions 53 to 901 of the family's 1478-position model. The record is from RNAcentral.
GCGAGUCAUUGUAGCAAUACAAGGCAGACGGCUCAGUAACGCGUAGUCAAUCUACCCUAUGGACGGGAAUAACCUCGGGAAACUGAGAAUAAUGCCCGACAGAACAUUAUACCUGGAACGGUUUAUGUUUCAAAUGAUUUAUCGCCGUAGGAUGGGACUGCGGCCUAUCAGUUUGUUGGUGAGGUAAUGGCCCACCAAGACUAUUACAGGUACGGGCUCUGAGAGGAGUAGCCCGGAGAUGGGUACUGAGACACGGACCCAGGCCCUAUGGGGCGCAGCAGGCGAGAAAACUUUGCAAUGUGCGAAAGCACGACAAGGUUAAUCCGAGUGGUUUCUGCUAAAGAAACCUUUUGCUAGUCCUAGAAACACUAGUGAAUAAGGGGUGGGCAAGUUCUGGUGUCAGCCGCCGCGGUAAAACCAGCACCUCAAGUGGUCAGGAUGAUUAUUGGGCCUAAAGCAUCCGUAGCUCGUUUUGUAAGUUUUCGGUUAAAUCCAUACGCUUAACGUAUGGGCUGCCGGGAAUACUGCAUAACUAGGAAGUGGGAGAGGUAGACGGUGCUCGGUAGGAAGGGGUAAAAUCCUUUGAUCUAUUGAUGACCACCUGUGGCGAAGGCGGUCUACCAGAACACGUUCGACGGUGAGGGAUGAAAGCUGGGGGAGCAAACCGGAUUAGAUACCCGGGUAGUCCCAGCUGUAAACUAUGCAAACUCAGUGAUGCAUUGGCUUGUGGCCAAUGCAGUGCUGCAGGGAAGCCGUUAAGUUUGCCGCCUGGGAAGUACGUACGCAAGUAUGAAACUUAAAGGAAUUGGCGGGGGAGCACCACAAGGGGUGAAGCCUGCGGU